RNAcentral lists this unclassified non-coding RNA (382 nucleotides) under uncultured Alphaproteobacteria bacterium. RNAcentral's name for it is "contains 16S-23S intergenic spacer region". The record is from RNAcentral. Lineage: Bacteria; Pseudomonadati; Pseudomonadota; Alphaproteobacteria.
UCUCGGCUUAUCACCGGCAGUCCCCUUAGAGUGCCCAACUUAAUGAUGGCAACUAAGGGCGAGGGUUGCGCUCGUUGCGGGACUUAACCCAACAUCUCACGACACGAGCUGACGACAGCCAUGCAGCACCUGUCACUGGUCCAGCCGAACUGAAGAUUUCCGUCUCCGGAAACCGCGACCAGGAAGUCAAGGGCUGGUAAGGUUCUGCGCGUUGCAUCGAAUUAAACCACAUGCUCCGCUGCUUGUGUGGGCCCCCGUCAAUUCCUUUGAGUUUUAAUCUUGCGACCGUACUCCCCAGGCGGGGCACUUAAUGCGUUAGCUGCGGCACCCAGGGGGUCAAUACCCCGGACACCUAGUGCCCAUCGUUUACAGCGUGGACUAC